GACGAACGCCGGCGGCGUGCUUAACACAUGCAAGUCGAACGGAAAGGCCCUGCUUUUGUGGGGUGCUCGAGUGGCGAACGGGUGAGUAACGCGUGAGUAACCUGCCCUUGACUUUGGGAUAACUUCAGGAAACUGGGGCUAAUACCGGAUAGGAGCUCCUGCUGCAUGGUGGGGGUUGGAAAGUUUCGGCGGUUGGGGAUGGACUCGCGGCUUAUCAGCUUGUUGGUGGGGUAGUGGCUUACCAAGGCUUUGACGGGUAGCCGGCCUGAGAGGGUGACCGGCCACAUUGGGACUGAGAUACGGCCCAGACUCCUACGGGAGGCAGCAGUGGGGAAUAUUGCACAAUGGGCGGAAGCCUGAUGCAGCGACGCCGCGUGCGGGAUGACGGCCUUCGGGUUGUAAACCGCUUUCGCCUGUGACGAAGCGUGAGUGACGGUAAUGGGUAAAGAAGCACCGGCUAACUACGUG
Molecule: ribosomal RNA, 468 nt
Filed under: uncultured bacterium
Lineage: Bacteria
Description: partial 16S ribosomal RNA
Rfam family: Bacterial small subunit ribosomal RNA
Source: RNAcentral